AUUGAACGCUGGCGGAAUGCUUUACACAUGCAAGUCGAACGGCAGCACGGACUUCGGUCUGGUGGCGAGUGGCGAACGGGUGAGUAAUAUAUCGGAACGUAUCCAAUAAUGGGGGAUAACUAAUCGAAAGGUUGACUAAUACCGCAUACGUCCUACGGAAGAAAGCUAGGGACCUUCGGGCCUGGCGUUAAUGGAGCGGCCGAUAUCGGAUUAGCUAGUUGGUGAGGUAAAGGCUCACCAAGGCGACGAUCCGUAGCUGGUCUGAGAGGACGACCAGCCACACUGGAACUGAGACACGGUCCAGACUCCUACGGGAGGCAGCAGUGGGGAAUUUUGGACAAUGGGCGAAAGCCUGAUCCAGCCAUUCCGCGUGAGUGAAGAAGGCCUUCGGGUUGUAAAGCUCUUUCGCAAGAGAAGAAAACUUACCCUCUAACAUAGGGUGAGGUUGACGGUAUCUUGAUAAGAAGCACCGGCUAACUACGUGCCAGCAGCCGCGGUAA
Molecule: ribosomal RNA, 500 nt
Filed under: uncultured bacterium
Lineage: Bacteria
Description: partial 16S ribosomal RNA
Rfam family: Bacterial small subunit ribosomal RNA
Source: RNAcentral